This 253-nucleotide ribosomal RNA is filed under the name uncultured bacterium. RNAcentral describes it as "partial 16S ribosomal RNA". It matches the Rfam family "Bacterial small subunit ribosomal RNA", at positions 524 to 776 of the family's 1533-position model. The record is from RNAcentral.
UACGUAGGGGGCAAGCGUUGUCCGGAAUCAUUGGGCGUAAAGAGCGUGUAGGCGGCCCGAUAAGUCCGCUGUGAAAGUCGGGGGCUCAACCCUCGAAUGCCGGCGGAUACUGUCGGGCUAGAGUCCGGAAGAGGCGAGUGGAAUUCCUGGUGUAGCGGUGAAAUGCGCAGAUAUCAGGAGGAACACCAACGGCGAAGGCAGCUCGCUGGGACGGUACUGACGCUGAGACGCGAAAGCGUGGGGAGCAAACAGG